GUGAAUCAUCGAAUCUUUGAACGCAAAUUGCACUCUCUGGUAUUCCGGAGAGUAUGCCUGUUUGAGGGUCAGUUUAAAUAAAAAUCGGUGUUGUUGCUGCCUUUCGUUGUGACGCACCGGAUUUAGGUCGUCUUGCCUUCGGUUAAGUUAUCUAAAAUGUUGCAUGAUUUUUUUCGAACGUAUUUAAGUGAUUUUACGUACGUUUGCGAUAGCGAAUACUAGGGGUUGGCAUCUGCAUGGUUUGCGCCU
This 249-nucleotide unclassified non-coding RNA is filed under the name Glomus sp. Its description in RNAcentral is "partial contains 5.8S ribosomal RNA and internal transcribed spacer 2". The stretch from base 1 to 71 matches the Rfam family "5.8S ribosomal RNA", at positions 84 to 154 of the family's 154-position model. Lineage: Eukaryota; Fungi; Glomeromycota; Glomeromycetes; Glomerales; Glomeraceae. The record is from RNAcentral.